This 223-nucleotide long non-coding RNA is filed under the name Panax ginseng (ginseng). RNAcentral describes it as "long non-coding RNA (PGIN_LNC004219)". Lineage: Eukaryota; Viridiplantae; Streptophyta; Magnoliopsida; Apiales; Araliaceae. The record is from RNAcentral.
UAUUAUCCUCCCACUAGUCCUUCAAUGAUAAACACCUUUAUCUUAGAAGGAAGCGUGUUUCGCAACAAACACCUUUUUGCUAAGUAGGAUUAUAGAACAUAUACCCUAAACUUACUUUAGGAUGUCCCACAAAUUUGUACUUAUCAAAUAUUGUCCCAAGCUUAUCCUUUGAAACCUUUUCACAUAAGUUGGACAACCCCUUAUCUUAACAUACUUAAGAUUA